RNAcentral lists this ribosomal RNA (87 nucleotides) under Clostridiales bacterium. RNAcentral describes it as "partial 23S ribosomal RNA". The stretch from base 1 to 76 matches the Rfam family "Bacterial large subunit ribosomal RNA", at positions 2849 to 2925 of the family's 2925-position model. Lineage: Bacteria; Bacillati; Bacillota; Clostridia; Eubacteriales. The record is from RNAcentral.
AAGGUUGAUAGGCUGCAUGUGUAAGCACGGUAACGUGUUCAGCUUGGCAGUACUAAUAGGCCGAGGGCUUGACCAUAUUUUCUUGGU